GACGAACGCUGGCGGCGUGCUUAACACAUGCAAGUCGAACGGAAAGGCCCUGCUUUGGUGGGGUGCUCGAGUGGCGAACGGGUGAGUAACACGUGAGUAACCUGCCCUUGACUUUGGUAUAACUUCAGGAAACUGGGGCUAAUACCGGAUAGGAGCUCCUGCUGCAUGGUGGGGGUUGGAAAGUUUCGGCGGUUGGGGAUGGACUCGCGGCUUAUCAGCUUGUUGGUGGGGUAGUGGCUUACCAAGGCUUUGACGGGUAGCCGGCCUGAGAGGGUGACCGGCCAAAUUGGGACUGAGAUACGGCCCAGACUCCUACGGGAGGAAGCAGUGGGGAAUAUUGCAAAAUGGGCGGAAGCCUGAUGCAGCAACGCCGCGUGCGGGAUGACGGCCUUCGGGUUGUAAACCGCUUUCGCCUGUGACGAAGCGUGAGUGACGGUAAUGGGUAAAGAAGCACCGGCUAACUACGUG
RNAcentral lists this ribosomal RNA (468 nucleotides) under uncultured bacterium. Its description in RNAcentral is "partial 16S ribosomal RNA". It matches the Rfam family "Bacterial small subunit ribosomal RNA", at positions 28 to 507 of the family's 1533-position model. The record is from RNAcentral.